This 444-nucleotide ribosomal RNA is filed under the name uncultured Deferribacteres bacterium. RNAcentral describes it as "bacterial SSU rRNA". It matches the Rfam family "Bacterial small subunit ribosomal RNA", at positions 338 to 774 of the family's 1533-position model. The record is from RNAcentral. Lineage: Bacteria; Pseudomonadati; Deferribacterota; Deferribacteres.
CCUACGGGAGGCAGCAGUGGGGAAUUUUGCGCAAUGACCGAAAGGUUGACGCAGCAACGCCGCGUGUAUGAUGAAGGCUUUCGGGUCGUAAAGUACUUUCAGUGGGGAAGAACUGCAUAAUCAGUAACUGGGUUAUGAUUGACGGUACCCACAGAUGCAGCCCCGGCUAACUCCGUGCCAGCAGCCGCGGUAAUACGGAGGGGGCAAGCGUUGUUCGGAGUCACUGGGCGUAAAGAGCUCGUAGGCGGCAGUGUAAGUCGGGAGUUAAAGGCAACAGCUCAACUGUUGUAAGGCUUCUGAAACUACAUUGCUAGAGUGCCAGAGAGGUAUGCGGAAUUCCCUGUGUAGCGGUGAAAUGCGUAGAUAUAGGGAGGAACACCGGUUGCGAAGGCGGCAUACUGGCUGGUAACUGACGCUGAGGAGCGAAAGCGUGGGUAGCAAACA